UACGGAGCAGCAGUGGGGAAUAUUGCACAAUGGGCGCAAGCCUGAUGCAGCCAUGCCGCGUGUAUGAAAAAGGCCUUCGGGUUGUAAAGUACUUUCAGUCGUGAGGAAGGUGUUAAGGUUAAUAACCUUAGCAAUUGACGUUAGCGACAGAAGAAGCACCGGCUAACUCCGUGCCAGCAGCCGCGGUAAUACGGAGGGUGCGAGCGUUAAUCGGAAUUACUGGGCGUAAAGGGCACGCAGGCGGUUAAUUAAGUUGGAUGUGAAAUCCCCGGGCUUAACCUGGGAAUGGCAUUCAAGACUGGUUAGCUAGAGUCUUGUAGAGGGGGUAGAAUUCCGAUGUGUAGCGGUGAAAUGCGUAGAGAUGUGGAGGAAUACCGGUGGCGAAGGCGGCCCCUGGACAAAGACUGACGCUCAUGUGCGAAAGCGUGGGGAGCAAACGAGGGAUUAGAUACC
This 453-nucleotide ribosomal RNA is filed under the name uncultured bacterium. RNAcentral's name for it is "bacterial SSU rRNA". It matches the Rfam family "Bacterial small subunit ribosomal RNA", at positions 340 to 786 of the family's 1533-position model. The record is from RNAcentral.